UUGCACUUCUUACAUGGGAAAAUAACCGCAUUAAAGAUGCGGUAGACGAAAAGGCAAAGAUAUGCUUUGAUCAGACGAUUGCAGAUGCAAGUUUCAAUGUCGACGCCAAGUUGCUUGGAUAAGUAUUAUAUAUUUUAUUUGGUUGAAGACUUUUUGCGUCGCGAUAGAGUUUCUGCUGGCGCAUUAUGUUUUUUUUGUUUUUUUUUGCUAUUAGACAUAAUGAUAUAUGUCGUUCGAUAAGAAAAUAUUUUUGUGGCAACUUAGACCGCAAUAAUAUAAUAUGACAAUAUGUCGUAUUUGACUAUGAUUAAUUAUAUUUUGAAGGUAUUUUCCAGAGCUUAUUUUUUUUUAAAUGUUUGUGUAUUUAGUUUGAGCAUAACAGUUAUAUCAUUUGUGGUAUAGGUGUUUGAAGUUAUGUACAUGAGGUUUCCAUUUUUUAUUUU
RNAcentral lists this long non-coding RNA (443 nucleotides) under Salvia miltiorrhiza (redroot sage). Its description in RNAcentral is "long non-coding RNA (SMIL_LNC009181)". Lineage: Eukaryota; Viridiplantae; Streptophyta; Magnoliopsida; Lamiales; Lamiaceae. The record is from RNAcentral.